This 262-nucleotide unclassified non-coding RNA is filed under the name uncultured Gammaproteobacteria bacterium. RNAcentral's name for it is "contains 16S-23S intergenic spacer region". The record is from RNAcentral. Lineage: Bacteria; Pseudomonadati; Pseudomonadota; Gammaproteobacteria.
UCCGGUUUGGCACCUGUGUUACGGUUCCCUUUCGGGCACACCUCCAUCUCUGGAGACUUCCGUACAUGUCAAGGGUAGGUAAGGUUUUUCGCGUUGCAUCGAAUUAAUCCACAUAAUCCACCGCUUGUGCGGGUCCCCGUCAAUUCCUUUGAGUUUUAACCUUGCGGCCGUACUCCCCAGGCGGUCAACUUCACGCGUUAGCUUCGUUACCAAGGAAUUGCUUCCCCGACAACCAGUUGACAUAGUUUAGGGCGUGGACUAC